Molecule: ribosomal RNA, 432 nt
Filed under: uncultured bacterium
Lineage: Bacteria
Description: partial 16S ribosomal RNA
Rfam family: Bacterial small subunit ribosomal RNA
Source: RNAcentral
AACGAACGCUGGCGGCAUGCCUAACACAUGCAAGUCGAACGAGACCUUCGGGUCUAGUGGCGCACGGGUGCGUAACGCGUGGGAAUCUGCCCUUGGGUUCGGAAUAACAGUUGGAAACGACUGCUAAUACCGGAUGAUGACGUAAGUCCAAAGAUUUAUCGCCCAGGGAUGAGCCCGCGUAGGAUUAGCUAGUUGGUGGGGUAAAGGCCUACCAAGGCGACGAUCCUUAGCUGGUCUGAGAGGAUGAUCAGCCACACUGGGACUGAGACACGGCCCAGACUCCUACGGGAGGCAGCAGUGGGGAAUAUGGGACAAUGGGCGAAAGCCUGAUCCAGCAAUGCCGCGUGAGUGAUGAAGGCCUUAGGGUUGUAAAGCUCUUUUACCCGGGAUGAUAAUGACAGUACCGGGAGAAUAAGCCCCGGCUAACUCCGU